GACGAACGCUGGCGGCGUGCCUAAUACAUGCAAGUAGAACGCACAGUUUAUACCGUAGCUUGCUACACCAUAGACUGUGAGUUGCGAACGGGUGAGUAACGCGUAGGUAACCUGCCUGGUAGCGGGGGAUAACUAUUGGAAACGAUAGCUAAUACCGCAUAAUAUUAGUUAUUGCAUGAUAAUUGAUUGAAAGAUGCAACUGCAUCACUACCAGAUGGACCUGCGUUGUAUUAGCUAGUAGGUGAGGUAACGGCUCACCUAGGCGACGAUACAUAGCCGACCUGAGAGGGUGAUCGGCCACACUGGGACUGAGACACGGCCCAGACUCCUACGGGAGGCAGCAGUAGGGAAUCUUCGGCAAUGGACGAAAGUCUGACCGAGCAACGCCGCGUGAGUGAAGAAGGUUUUCGGAUCGUAAAGCUCUGUUGUAAGAGAAGAACGGGUGUGAGAGUGGAAAGUUCACACUGUGACGGUAUCUUACCAGAAAGGGACGGCUAACUACGUG
This 505-nucleotide ribosomal RNA is filed under the name uncultured bacterium. RNAcentral describes it as "partial 16S ribosomal RNA". It matches the Rfam family "Bacterial small subunit ribosomal RNA", at positions 28 to 507 of the family's 1533-position model. The record is from RNAcentral.